AAGGUGAAAAUUCCAAAAGAUAAGGAUGGUAAACCAAAGCAGUUUGCAUUUGUGAAUUUCAAACAUGAAGUAUCUGGUUCCUUAUGCUAUGAAUCUUCUUAAUGGAAUCAAACUUUUUGGAAGGCCCAUCAAAAUUCAAUUUAGAUCAGGAAGUAGUCAUGCCUCACAGGUUGUCAGUUUGUCAUAUUCCCAGCAUCAUGUUGGAAAUUCAAGUCCUACUUCUACAUCUCCUAGCAGGUAUGAAAGGACUGUGGAUAAUGUGACAGCAUCGGCACAAGUAAUACAGAGAUCAUUUUCUUCUCCAGAAAAUUAUCAGAGACAAGCAGUGAUGAACAGUGUUUUGAGACAGAUGUCAUAUGUUGGGAAAUUUGGGUCUUCACAUGUGGAUCAGUCAGGAUUUAACCAUCAGUUCAGUCACAUAAUCAUACUUUCAACCAGUCUUCAAGCUCCCAGUGGCUCUAAGAUGCAUCAUCAUCACAGCGUAAAGUCAGACAGAAUUCUCAUCCCUACCUUUCAGAUAGACAUUAUAGCCUCGAACAGCGUUACACCGAUCAUGGAUCUGAUCAUCAUUACAGAGGAAACAGAGAUGAUUUCUUCUAUGAAGAUAGGAAUCAUGAUGGCUGGAGCCAUGAGUAUAACAGAAGAGACAGCUGUAGGGAUGGAAAAUGGCGCUCCUCUCGACACUAA
This is a non-coding RNA of Marmota flaviventris (yellow-bellied marmot), 687 nucleotides long. Lineage: Eukaryota; Metazoa; Chordata; Mammalia; Rodentia; Sciuridae. The record is from RefSeq and is a predicted model, not a curated record.